This is an RNA transcript of Pan troglodytes (chimpanzee), 17316 nucleotides long. It is a transcript of the gene named phospholipid scramblase 4, with no coding region annotated. NCBI's taxonomy places the organism in Eukaryota, Metazoa, Chordata, Mammalia, Primates, Hominidae. The record is from RefSeq and is a predicted model, not a curated record. The transcript has 11 exons.
CGCAGAGCAGGACAGGGUGGCGCGGGCGCCCGGGCUGCGGGGCCGAGGGCGUCGUCAGGGGAGGCCCGAGGCCGCGGUGCCUGCGGGCAGGCGCGGAGGUUGCGUGGCGUCCUGCGCUAGCGGUUCCCGGACACUGCGCUCGCGUCGCAUCCUCAGGUGGUUGCAGAAGUUUCGUGGUGUCGGGCGUGCGUCUGCACUGCUGACGCGGAGGGUUUGGGAGCGACCAGUUUCCUGCCCAGGGAUGGGGGUCCCGGCUGCACUUCACGGGGGCGGCCCUUUCGUUUCGCUCUGCGUGACAGGUCUCGCUUGAUUGGGUUUCUCAUGGGUCUCUGACUGGCGUUUCUACGGCGCGGCUCUCACGGACUCAGGCCAGGCCACUCGCAGGAUUAAUUGGAAUUCUUCAAAAUGUCGGGUGUGGUACCCACAGCCCCUGAACAGCCUGCAGGUGAAAUGGAAAAUCAAACAAAAGCACCAGAUCCAAGGCCUGAUGCUCCUCCUGAAUACAAUUCUCAUUUUUUACCAGGACCCCCUGGAACAGCUGUCCCUCCACCUACUGGCUACCCAGGAGGCUUGCCUAUGGGAUACUACAGUCCACAGCAACCCAGUACCUUCCCUUUGUACCAGCCAGUUGGUGGUACCCAUCCUGUCCGGUAUCAGCCUGGCAAAUAUCCUAUGCCAAAUCAGUCUGUUCCAAUAACAUGGAUGCCAGGGCCAACUCCUAUGGCAAACUGCCCUCCUGGUCUGGAAUACUUAGUUCAGUUGGACAACAUACAUGUUCUUCAGCAUUUUGAGCCUCUGGAAAUGAUGACAUGUUUUGAAACUAAUAAUAGAUAUGAUAUUAAAAACAACUCAGACCAGAUGGUUUACAUUGUAACCGAAGACACAGAUGACUUUACCAGGAAUGCCUAUCGGACACUAAGGCCCUUCGUCCUCCGUGUCACUGAUUGUAUGGGCCGAGAAAUCAUGACAAUGCAGAGACCCUUCAGAUGCACCUGCUGUUGCUUCUGUUGCCCCUCUGCCAGACAAGAGCUGGAGGUGCAGUGUCCUCCUGGUGUCACCAUUGGCUUUGUUGCGGAACAUUGGAACCUGUGCAGGGCGGUGUACAGCAUCCAAAAUGAGAAGAAGGAAAAUGUGAUGAGAGUUCGUGGGCCAUGCUCAACCUAUGGCUGUGGUUCAGAUUCUGUUUUUGAGGUCAAAUCCCUUGAUGGUGUAUCCAACAUCGGCAGUAUUAUCCGGAAGUGGAAUGGUUUGUUAUCAGCAAUGGCAGAUGCUGACCAUUUUGACAUUCACUUCCCACUAGACCUGGAUGUGAAGAUGAAAGCCAUGAUUUUUGGAGCUUGCUUCCUCAUUGACUUCAUGUAUUUUGAAAGAUCUCCACCACAACGUUCAAGAUAGAGAGACACAGCAAGCCAUCAACUAUGGUUAAUUUUGAAAAAUGGAAAAGUUGGAUUGGGCUUACAGUCAGCACUCAGUUAUUUGCAAGUGUAUUUCUUUGCUUUGUAGAGUAUUUUUAUUGGGUGUUAACUUUGACAGCUGAGAGUGGGCUUGCAAGAACACAGUCUAAAAGUGUGUUUCAAUUGAGUAUCUCUCUAGUAGAAUAGGAGUUCAUCCUAAAAAGCUGUGACUCAUUAACCCAGUAAACAUAUACAAAGUAAGCUUAAAACACUAUAAACAUGAGAUAAGGGAAAAUGAAUCCAGAGUUCUCAAUAUGAGUGAAUAGGUAGUGAAAUAAUAAGGCUUUUUAGAGCAGACUUUGUUGGGAUAAAAAAACCUGGCUUCUAUCCCUAACCCUUUCCUACCUUUCCUCUCCGUCAACAUGUCCUCAUACUGAAGACAAACUUGUUUCAAUGAUAGUCUUCAUUUUUAAAAACAAAAAGGCAGGCAGACAGAAAUAAUGAUGUUUUCUUGUACUAAGAAGGUACUACUUGUACACAUAUAUCAAAACCUCAUUCUGCAAAGUUUUUGAAGGUUUCAAUGGGAAAUUUGAUUUUAUUACAAAAUAAAACAUUUUUUAAUGUUAAAGUUUAUAUAUUCCAUGCUUGUUUUCUCAUUCACUGGCAUGGAUGAUCAGGAGCUGCCUAUAUAUGAAGGCAGAAUCAGACUAUCAGGAAAGGAGCUGGCCAGGGCCACAGCCAAUGAAGAUCUCUGAGCAACUUAGAGACAUUGGUGUCAUUAUAUGAAGCUUGCAUUUAAUACAUUUAUACAUAAUACAUUUGUACAUUUAAUUCGUAACGUCUCUUGGUCACAGAUGCCUUAUAUAUAAAAUAAGUUGCCAAAUCUCUAAGAUUGCCUAGUACACCUUUGUAUUUCAUUUGAUGUGAUACCCAGAAGAGAUCAUUGUUUUUUGUUUUUGUUUUUGUUUUUUUCAAGAAGAUCCUUCGUGAUCACCAUGCUGUUCUCAUGAGGAAGAGCAAACCUCAUCAAGAGGUGAUAGUACCAAGAAGAUGAAAUGCUAUAAGGAGUCCCUGCUAUAAUUGUAAUGAAAGAAAACCAAAGGGUUGGAUAAAAGGUGAGAUACACGAAAUCUCCUAGAGCUAGAGGAGCUACUUCCACCUAGCGGUGGAACUUAGUUAAUGCAAGAAUUUCUAGAGCUGCGCAGUCUCAAGGUUCCAACCAGAAAUCUGAUGAGGCCAAUCGUCCUAAUCCUGUGUCCCAGCUGCCCAGAGCAGGUUCGUGGUGAGUGUUCACUAGUGUGUGUAAUGAGGGUGGGGAAGGUGCUAGAGCUGGGGAGAUGGUAAUGCCUUUGCACAUAGUAUCUAAACAAAAAACUUAAAUUGCAAAUUCUGAAAACAUGUACUGCCAUUAGCUAGCUUAAUAGUUGCCUAUUACAUUUCUUGCCGUUCUUACUUGUACUGCUCCUCAGCAAAGAAGCCAGUUGUGAAAUCAUGUAAUUUGGGGAUAUAUAAUUGCUAUCUUUACCCAAAGAUUUAACUCUAGGCCAGAUGUUGGACAUUCAUCUGGGGCACAUGGAGAAAAAGCAACCUAAUCAUGAGAUAGGUGGGAUGAUGCAACUACCUAUAAUAACAAUAGUGAAAAUGAUGAAGACUAUAAAACCAGCCAGCUCUAUUUAAUGCUUGCUACAAACCAGACACUGUUCUAGUUCUAAAGACUUUCCAUAUAUUAACCCAUUUAAUUCUCAUAACCCUAUGAGUUAGAUUACUAUAAUGAUUCCCAUUUUACAAAAUAGAAAAUGAAGAUUUAGGUAUCUUGCACAAGGCCACUCAGCUAGCUGUAUAUCCACAAAGCCAUUAUUUGACUGCCCAAAGCACUGAGAAGCAAAAAGAAUAAAGCUGGAGGCAUUACAUAACCUGACUUCAAAUUAUAUUACAAAGCUGUAGUAACCAAAACAUCAUAGUACCGGUAUAAACAUCCAGAGGCUACACUCCAAAUUUUUAUGCCCUGUUUUUCUUUCAUCUCUGUGUAAUAUUUGGUUUCUUUGUCUGUUAACCCAGAAAUACAGGGAAACAGAAAUAGAGGAGAAAGGUGGCAUGCUACUUCAUGUGUUUUAAAAUUUAGGACUAUGACCGGGAAACGCAAGAGACUCAGAAGUCUUGUCUGAGGGUAGCUGUCUCCAGAGAGGCUUACCUUUGCUCCUAUUGGUGCCUCAGUGGUGUUGCCAGCUGAUGACCAUUUUUUUAUAUUAUUUCUUCAGUUUGGUGUUUCCCAAGUCAUGUAUGUAUUUCAAAUAUGAACCCCUAAAUGAUGUGGACAUAUACUGGUUUAUGAAUUCUCAGGGAACAAAUUUUCCCUACCUGUAGCAGAGGUCAAAACAAUCAAGCUUUCUCUUAAUUUUUAUUUGCCAAUUUUUCUAUUUCACUUUUUACACUGGAGUGUGUCCCUUUGAGACUUUCCACUUUACUGGGGGUCUCUCUUCUAAUAUCAACCCUUGCCUAAACCCAAGACCUCACUUCCAGCCUCAUGGUGGUGGGUAAAAUCAAAGCCCCUUCCUAAUAAACAUUGGUGACUCCUUCCAUUUGAGAAGCCAAAGAAAAUGCCAGACUAAGCUUAAUAGUCAGAUGUUUCCAAUUAUUCUUUAUUUUUAACUUCUGCUAAAAUCUUGUACUCUCCCAAAAUCUACACUUUGCAUCUAAAUGCCCUUUGGUUAUAUUUCAGCCACACUUUAUAUAUUCUAUGGAAAGAGGGGUUUUAAGAUUAUCUAGUUUGCAACAUUGCUAGCAAUGUGAGUGACCUAUUUUUUUAAACUGCACAUGAUUUUUACGUGAAAUAUUCAGAGGAAAAUUCUUUAACAUAAAUAUAAUCAUAUAAUAUUGAAACUUGCAACUUAUUACUAUUUGUUAUACCUAACUUACAACUAAAUAUUUUCUCUUUGAGAUGAGUUAUCUAUCAUCGUAUUAUUGAGUUCCAGAUUCUCUUAAAAUGUUUAAUAUUUCUAGUACUACUGUUAAGUAAAAGACAUUUAUUUAAAAUUGUGUCAGCUCUUCUAUGACCCAGGCUUAGGCAAAUUUAUUUUAGGAAAUUAUAGGAGCAAUCUUUUCCUUAAACAGUUUUGAAAACAUGUUGCUCAAAUUGUCUUAGUUAACAAUCACUAAACAUAAUUUACAUGAGUUUUAACUUUUUUCAUUAUAACAGAUAAAAGAUAACAUAGUUAGAAAUCAAACCAUUUUAAAACCUCUUGAUUUUACAGAAAUAAACAAGUAGAGAGUGCCAGGGAGAAGCGAGUGACAAAAUAUUUAUCUGGCUUUGCUGCCUUUCCCGGCUCCGUGUCAGAAAGCUGAAUAAAACAAGCUACAAUAGGGGGCAGCACCAGCUCAUGGAUUUUUUUGUUAAACUAUGCUCUUUUUAAUCCAAGAAUUUAUCAGUACCAAUCUAUAAAUUUUAAUGAAUAGUAUCAGUGGAUUUUAAAAUCAGAAGAAGUAUUAAGGACCAUCUGCUCUACAUUCUAAUAUACAAAUGAAGGAAGUGGGAGAGGCCCAGAUUAUGUGUCUAAAAUUACAUUGAGAAUUAACUAGUAAUCAAACCAGAACUAAAAACACAGAUCGCCAUUUUAAUUCCAGUUUCCGUGCCGCCACAGCAAAAAUUUAGCAGAGAUUUAAAACAUUUUAAAGCAACAUCUUUCAUAACAUUGAGAUUUUAAGCAUGAAAAAAAUAAAACCCAGUUUCAAAUUAUUCUAAUGUUCAAAAUCUUUUUUAAGCACAUACUCAUGGUGUCUACCUCAAUAAAUCAUUAAUUUCAGAGGUUUUCUAACUAUAAAGAGAAAUGAAAUUACUAUGUUAUAAAAACAACAACAAAACAUUUAAAAUGUGUAUGUCCUAGGUAACAUAGAGUAUUUUUUAUUUAUUCUUCCACUCAUACACUGAUAUACCUUUAUCUUCUUCCGUAGUCACCAUGCACAUCUGAGUUCAAUUUCUUUAUUAAAAUAUGUAUUUUUACAUUUUUUGUUAAAAACUAUUAAUUGAUAGAUUUUCCUGCUUUGAAGGGAUGUAAUUGUUAGUUAAAAUGAGAAUGUCAGAUGGGCAUAGACAGAAUCAAGCCAUUAUUUGAAUAGGAAAAGGAAAAUAUGGCUAAUGGGCAUGGAAUACAAUCUGCCCACAUAUGACCCAGGCUGCCUACUGGCCUGAUAGAUGACAUCGAAUGGACCAUAUGGCUGGGGAUGUGGGGAUAUUUUUUCAAAAGUCUGGCAAAUCAGAUGACAGCCAUGAAGAUUUUUCCUGGCCAUGUUCAGGGUUCAUUUUAUUCCUUUGAAUUACUUAGAUAUUACUGUUUUUUCUAAUAUUUAUAACAUUUCUAUUUUUUUUCUGUUUGUUGUGUUUGUGUAUCUCUCUUAAUUCUAUAUGGCUUUAUGCAUUUCUGUUUACAGAGUAGUCAUGCUACCUGUUUGAGUUACAAUCAGAGGGCCUGCCUGGACAUAGAAAUCAGGGAGAGAUUAUAUCGUUUACUUCAAUGAUAGCUCUGUAACUUUCAAAAGGAAACUAUGUUUAUAUUGCUGGUAUUUUGAGAGAUUACUUUGUCAGUGAAAUCCAUUGAGAAAUAGGUAUCGGAGGAAAACAGAAAUCAUUUUUAUCCUGAUAAGGCUGUUAUAAGGAUAUGCCAUAUAUUCUGGCAACAAUAGGUUUGCAGAAUGAUAUAGAAUCAGUUACCCUCCCUGUCUCAGGCAGAGGUGGAAAAACAGAGGGGUUCCUGGUAGAGGCUUGUCUCUCUAAUACUACCCCAUGGAGUAGGUAGGACUAUGUGUGCCCUUCAGACAGGCUGCCUCCCCAAAGAGAGACAAAAAGAAGGAAUUGAACUACUCAUGCUCAGUUUUUUCUUUCAGAGGGCAGAGAAUGGUCAGGAGUGUUCUGUAAUGUCACUAUCUCACAUGGGAAUGUCAGGAGUGGGGAAUGAUUGUGGGAGAGGUGUGCUUGUCUGUUGAAGUCUUCCCUAAUGUUAUAGCUUCUGAUUUCAUUGAUUCACAUUGAAGCCUGGAAUAAACACAGUAUUUCCUUUCAGCUAGGUGUGGAAACAUGGCAAAGUUCUGGCCCAUUAAAAGUGAAGUGUGGCAACUUCUUUAAAAGAUAAGUGGUGUGUAUCUUUUGCUGCUAUUUAUUCUUUCCUGCUUCUUGUGGACUCCAGUGUCAAUGUGAAGGCUGGCAGCAAAACACCUUUCUUGGACCAUGAGCUGAUCUUGGGAAUGUGAACCAUGAAUAGUAGAACAACAAGAUAGAAGAAACUUGGGUUGCUGAGGAUUUCUUAGAUAAAGUAAUGUCACCACAGAGCUGCCAUAUGAUUCCUAGACUGUUUUCACUUAAGGAAUAAAAUGUUUAAAUAAAAUUUUUUGGAGGGGCCUCUUAUCUGCAUCUAAACCCAAUAAUAAAAUACUUAUCUCCCAACAUACAAGCUUUUAAAAUAUGUAAGCCCUAAGUCAGAUGUUCAUUUUAAAAAAUAUAUCUAAGGGUUGAUAAAUUUAACCUAAUUGAUUGUUACAAUUUUUCUAUCUAUGACACAUUCUUUUCAGAGUAUAAGCAUAUAAUUCUCCAUAUUUUGGUAAAUAAAUGAUUAAAGAUUUUGGUAAAUGAUUAAAAAUAAUUAAAAAGUUAAAAAUAGAUCAAGGUUUUAAUAGCAGAUACCUCUAGAAAGUAGAUUUUGGGAGUUCAUAUUUAUUUUAGAUUUUUCCGCAUUGCUUGAAUUUAUAAGAAAAAUAUUAAUUUCAUAAUUUAAAAAAUUAAACUUUUUGAGAUCUAUUAUAACUAGAAAUGACAUUUCUAUACCUGGAAAGGCCAUGGGAUGCCAUUUUUAGGCUACAAUUUAGGGCUCUCUAAUGAAGAAACAUUAAAAUUUACUGAAAACUUUAUAGUAAUAGCAAUACAAGGGUCUUGCCUGUAGACAUUGAUUUAAUUGUUCUUGGUGGGAUCUGGGCAUGGGUAUACUUAAAAGUUCCCCAGAUGUUUGUUACAUGUAGGGAAAGUUAAGAAGCACUGGACAUCAGUCACCAGCUCCUCACUGUUGUACAUGAGUCACCUGGAAUACUUUGAAAAAAAUCCCACACCCUGGCAGAAUUCCAGAGCCACUGCACUGGCAUCUGGAGUUCUUCAGGUGAUUCUAAUGUCAAGACAAGUUUGGGAACAGCUGUUACUGCCUGAAAGCCUCCAGGAAACUUUCCCUCAAUUUGUAUGUAAGCCAAUAAAAUAAACUCUCUUGCUUUUAUCUGUGUUUUUAGCCAAGUUGCUAGAUAAAAUACAGGUCCUAUUAAAUGUGAAUUUCAGACAUCAAUUUUUAGUAAAAGAAUGUCAUACUUUUAAGACACACAGAAUUUAAGACACACAGAAAAAUUAUUCAUUGUUUAUUUGAAUGUCCUUGAAUGCGAUCAAAUUUAAUUGGGGUGGGUACUUCCUGUAUUUCCCAAUAUUUUUAUGUGUCAAAUCUGGCAACCCUACAAACGAAACACAGCAGUACUCUAAAAAUCACUAAAGAUCAAUGUAAAUUUUCUCUGUAUGUAAAGGAGUGUUAAGGAGACUGAACACUGAGGAGAAAGCAAAGAGGAAUCACCUUGCUAAUGCCCAGUAAUACCUCCUAGAAGUCUUCAUUCAUCUCCUUUCCUGAAUAGUCUUAAGCUUUAUAACAACUGGCUUAGUUUCUUUGCUGUAUGCCCUCACUCAAUUCAAUAAGUAGGCAACUCCCAAACUCCACUUUUAUUAUUUCCAUCACUACCCUCACACUUUCCUCCUUUUGAUCAAUUCAACCUAUUACAGUUUUUGCUAAUAUUUUUUUCCUGAACCACUCAGAAAGGUUGCAAAUCAAGAAAAUGCACAUAUAGGCUAGCUGGUAUAGGUUUGCAGAACUACUGUGACCCUUUUCCAUGUAUCAUACCACUUUUAUUGAUGUGGAAAUGUAAGCUUUAGAGGAUAGUGAAAUUCAAGUAAAUUUAUCUCUUAUGCAGAAGCUCUUUAGUUUAAUUAGAUCCCAUUUGUCAAUUUUGGCUUUUGUUGCCAUUGUUUUUGGUGUUUUAGACAUGAAGUCCUUGCCCAUGCCUAUGUCCUGAAUGGUAUUGCCUAGGUUUUCUUCUAGGGUUUUUAUGGUUUUAGGUCUAACAUGUAAGUCUUUAAUCCAUCUUGAAUUAAUUUUUGUAUAAGGAGUAAGGAAGGGAUCCAGUUUCAGCUUUCUACAUAUGGCUAGCCAGUUUUCUCAGCACCAUUUAUUAAAUAGGGAAUCCUUUCCCCAUUUCUUGUGUUUGUCAGGUUUGUCAAAGAUCAGAUGGUCGUAGAUAUGUGGCAUUAUUUCUGAGGGCUGUGUUCUGUUCCAUUGAUCUAUAUCUCUGUUUUGGUACCAGUACCAUGCUGUUUUGGUUACUGUAGCCUUGUAGUAUAGUUUGGAGUCAGGUAGCGUGAUGCCUCCGGCUUUGUUCUUUUGGCUUAGGAUUGACUUGGUGAUGCGGGCUCUGUUUUGGUUCCAUAUGAACUUUAAAGUAGUUUUUUCCAAUUCUGUGAAGAAAGUCAUUGGUAGCUUGAUGGGGAUGGCAUUGAAUCUACAAAUUACCUUGGGCAGUAUGGCCAUUUUCAUGAUAUUGAUUCUUCCUACCCAUGAGCAUGGAAUGUUCUUCCAUUUGUUUGUAUCCUCUUUUAUUUCAUUGAGCAGUGGUUUGUAGUUCUCCUUGAAGAGGUCCUUCACAUCCCUUGUAAGUUGGAUUCCUAGGUAAGAGCUUCUGCACAGCAAAAGAAACCACCAUCAGAGUGAACAGGCAACCUACAAAAUGGGAGAAAAUUUUCGCAACCUACUCAUCUGACAAAGGGCUAAUAUCCAGAAUCUGCAAUGAACUCAAACAAAUUUACAAGAAAAAAACAAACAACCCCAUCAAAAAGUGGGCGAAGGAUAUGAACAGACACUUCUGAAAAGAAGACAUUUAUGCAGCCAAAAGACACAGGAAAAAAUGCUCAUCAUGACUGGCCAUCAGAGAAAUGCAAAUCAAAACCACAAUGAUAUACCAUCUCACACCAGUUAGAAUGGCGAUCAUUAAAAAGUCAGGAAACAACAGGUGCUGGAGAGGAUGUGGAGAAACAGAAACACUUUUACACUGUUGGUGGGACUGUAAACUAGUUCAACCAUUGUGGAAGUCAGUGUGGCGAUUCCUCAGGGAUCUAGAACUAGAAAUACCAUUUGACCCAGCCAUCCCAUUACUGGGUAUAUACCCAAAGGAUUAUAAAUCAUGCUGCUAUAAAGACACAUGCACACGUAUGUUUAUUGCGGCACUAUUCACAGUAGCAAAGACUUGGAACCAACCCAAAUGUCCAACAACAAUAGACUGGAUUAAGAAAAUGUGGCACAUAUACACCAUGGAAUACUAUGCAGCCAUAAAAAAUGAUGAGUUCAUGUCCUUUGUAGGGACAUGGAUGAAACUGGAAAUCAUCAUUCUCAGCAAACUAUCGCAAGGACAAAAAACCAAACACCGCAUGUUCUCAGUCAUAGGUGGGAAUUGAACAAUGAGAACACAUGGACACAGGAAGGGGAACAUCACACUCCAGGGACUGUUGUGGGGUCGGGGGAGGGGGGAGGGAUAGCAUUAGGGGAUAUGCCUAAUGCUAAAUGAUGAGUUAAUGGGUGCAGCACACCAACAUGGCACAUGUAUACAUAUGUAACAAACCUGCACAUUGUGCACAUGUACCCUUAAACUUAAAGUAUAAUAAUAAUAAAACAAAAUAAAUUUAUCUCCUGACUGCUGUUUUCAGUGCCAUUUUCAAAUAUAAACUACAGAGUCUCUUUCCAUAAUGGUCUAGAGAGAGAAGGAAGGACUAUUAUCUCUAACAACUGUUACACUUCAUUUUCUGGAAUUCUCUAUCAGCCACACAAACUGUGAUGAUAGAUAACAAAUAUACAAUAAGAGCACAUCAAACACUUAAGUUAUAAGUGUCUAAUACUCAUCUUGGGGUAGGAAAUAAUAUAUAAAGUUUGAGAUGUGUUCUACAGAAACAUUGUGAUGUAUUAAACUGUACUAAAUUUUGUGGGGCCCAGAUGUUGGCUUGAGUAUCGCAGCCAGCCUUACUAAUAACCUUAGGCAGGACACGAAGCUCUGUGCUCUUCCACUUUUCCAUCUGUAAAUUAAAGCCAUAAUGCCUGAAUUGUUUUGAUAACAGUGUGAUUGUGAGAACUAAAAUGAGAUAAUAUAUGUGGAUAAGGCUGGCCCUUGGAAUCAUUAGCAUUUUUACUAAGUAAAAGCAAAGAAGGAAGAGUAGGAACUGGUCUAGUUUUGCUCUAUACAAGGUAACUUAGGCUCUUGGAUAGGCUUUUAUGAGCUAUCAAGGCAAAUGGACCCAGAAAUAUCCUCAAGGGAUAAAAGAAAUGUUUGGUUAGAAGGCCACAUGUAAGCAAUGAUUUUUUUUUUUAAGUAGAAAGAAAAGAUGAAAAAUGCCAGGCCACAAGAUUAGCCCUCUUAGAGGCUCCUGGCAUCCUAACUGGGGAUCAUGGAUAUGUUAAAUAAUCAUGUUCGCUUCCCUUGAUUAGAUGGAAGCAUUAAGUCAUCUGAAACUAAAACUGAGUCACAGACAAACUUACGGGAAGAUACCCAAAGUCUGAGUGGUAAAGUAAACGAAAUGGUGAAAAAAAUGUGUAUGGAUUCUAUGUUUCCGUAUGUCCAUGUUAGCAAGACUUCCCCUAGUGAAUCAUGACCCAUUUCUGUUUUUAGAGUGCAGGUGACUGCCUUACCUUGGGCCCCUCUGUUUGAAUGUGAUCAUUUGGACAAACUCUAGACUCUAUAUGCCAUUAAAGUUUUCAUGAGGAAUUUUUUAAAAAAUCAAACAUCAUAUUUAACCCUCCAAGAAAGAAAAGAAAAGCAAUGUGAAUAGCCAAGUUAUCUAGCUACAGAUAACUCAUUUGUUUGGGUUUUAAACACACUAAAUUGUUUGCAAACCUAUCUGCCCUCGUGUGUGUGUGUAACAAAAUAUUCUUUGUCAGGACUUUAGUUGUGGUGAGAGCCUGGUGAGCAUAAUUUCCUAAGGUCUCUUUUGUUAACACAGUUUUGGAAAUCAUCUUUUAGAAAUGACCCCCUAUUCUGCAAACUACAAAACUGAAUUCGUGUCAUAAACUCUAUGCUUCAGUUGAAACACUCACCAUAUUCACUCACGUGUUAAACCCAUCUUUACCAAAUUAAAUUACUCCCUUCUGAAAACCACCAGUGGCUUUCCAUUUACUCACAAAGCUUUGUUUCCCAGAAGGGUCCUAGAUCAUUCUUAUGUCUUAAGGUAGCUUACCCCUUUUCUUCAUGUCACCACCUCAGGAAGACAUGCCCAGACCCAUCCAGUCCCUCACGUCAUUCUCUCUUCUUAGCAGGUAACACCAUCAGAAAUAUUACUUGUUCUACUUUUAGUUCUUUAAGGAAUUGCCAAACUGUUUUCCGCAGUGGCUGUGCUAGUUUACAUUCCCACCAGCAGUAACGUGUUCCCUGUUCGCCGUCUCCACGCCAAUAUCUACUGUUUUUUAUUUUUUGAUUAUGGCCAUUCUUGCAAGAGUAAGGUGGUAUCACAUUGUGGUUUGAUUUGCAUUUCCCUGAUCAUUAGUGAUGUUGAGCAUUUUUUCAUAUGUUUGUUGACCAUUUGUAUAUCUUAUUUUCAGAAUUGUCUAUUUAUGUCCUUAGCCAACUUUUUGAUGGGAUUGUUUCUUUCUUACUGAUUUGUUUGAUCCAGCAAUCCCACUACUGGGUAUCUACCCAGAAGAAAAUAAGUCAUUAUUCAAAAAAGAUACUUGCACAUGUAUGUUUAUAGCAGCACAAUUCACAAUUGCAAAAUUGUGGAACCAACCCAAAUACCCAUCAGUCAACGAGUGGAUAAAGAAACCAUGGUAUGUAUAUACCAUGGAAUACUACACAGCCAUAAAAAGAAUGAAUUAACAGCAUUCGUGGUGACCUGGGUGAGAUUGGAGACUAUUAUUCUAAGUGAUGUAACUCAGGAGUGGGAAGCCAAAUAUCAUAUAUUCUCAUUGAUAUGUGGGAGCUAAGCUAUAAGGACACAAAGGCAUAAGAAUGAUACGAUGGACUUUAGGGACUUGGGGGGAAGAGUGGGAGGGGGACGAGGGAUAAAAGACUACAAAUAUGGUACACUGUACACUGCUUGGGUGAUGGGUGCACCAAAAUCUCACAAAUCACCAAUAAAGAAUUUACUCAUGUAACCAAAUGCCACCUAUACCCCAAUAACUUAUGGAAAAAAAGAAAUAUAAUUUUUUGCUUGUUUAUAAGUUCUGAAAAGGCAGAGAUACUGUGUGUUAUGUUUACCCUAUAUCCUCACUGCCUAUAACAGUAACUAACAAGAAGUAGGGACGAAAUAAAUGUUGAAUAAAUGCCAUUGAGUAUAAGCAAAAUAAUAUGAUCAUCUCUAUAAAGAUAACUUCACAUGACACAUUUAAAAGGCUGUGGAUAAGAACAGCAUCAUUAGAAUUAUUGUGUUCCCAGUCAUGAUAGUUACUUUAAAGCAGACACUAGUUAUUUGGAAAUAUCCAUUGGCCAAAAGAAAAAAAAAGGCAUUUUUGUUUAAAAAUGCAACACGUUCUAUAUUCAGCUUGACUCUCUCUUCUUAUGCUCUUCUAAGCCUUUUAGCAAGAGACAUUUAACACCUGGCUAAAGUUUUGUCCUCUGAUAAAAAUCUAGGAAUAACUUUUCUCCUCACUAAAUUGCUCUACAGUUCCUGCUUUCAGAAGGGGUUAGGAGGUUAGAGGGGAGCAAGUGUGUUAGGAAUAGAGCAGGGGCUUAGGAGGUUAGGAAUGGAGCGAGUGUCUCAGAAGUCAACACAGGAAGCUUGGAAGCUGUUAAUUGGCCUUGUUUCUAUCUCAUAACAACCGGUUGCUGGUAAAUGAGGGUACCAGUUGAGGGGAUGGGAGUCAAUUAUAUUGUUUUAGGCAUUUGUUACAAGGAGAAAACCACCUAAGACCUUAGGUGGCCAAAUAUGUAACCUGGGUUCUUCUCAAUAUUUCUGGAAGCAAUGAGCAAUGGUUGCAGUAGCAGUUUGGUUUGUGUUUGUUUAUUUGUUUGUAAUCUUUGCUGUUGCUGUUGCUUCUGCACCAGGAAUGGUGCAUUGGUGCAAGAUGGCAGAGUCUGCUUUAUAAGGCAGAAACUUUGUUAUUUAAUAUAUUAGAGGCUUUGGCCCUUAGGUUUAUGGACAGGAGUAAUUAAUGACUUUGUUCCUUUCUUGGUUGGAAAGUCUUUUUCAAAUUGGUAAAUACUUAAAACACCAAUAACAACAAAAACUCAGUGGCAAGUUGUUGGCAAUGGACAGAGAAACUUAGGCACACAGGAACUCUCUCAAGACGAACUUAGCUGAUUUAGCAGAAGUGAACAGAACUGAAAUGUAAAUCUGUUCAGGGUGGGAUGCCAAUGAGAAGUAAGCCAAAUCUUGAGUUGAAAGAUGGGACAUAAAAUUGUUUAUAUGGUAUGAUUGCAAUGUUGCUUCACAUGCAUGUUCUUUCUUGCUUACAUACACACAACAUAAAUCAUAAAUAUACAUAUAUUGCAGACACAACACUAAAAGAAACACAUCAGAAUGUAAAGACCAGUUACUUCUGGGGAGUUGGAUUCUGAGUGAUUUUGUUUUCUUUAUUCUCUGUUCUCCCAUUUUCCUUGCCAAGCUUCCGCUUUCGGUCUCUUCAUAUCCAGCUCUGCUACCAAAGAAACUCUGAUGCUUCUCCAGCCCAAGCCAGCCAAGUCCUGAAGUAUCCAAGUUAACCUCUGACUUCCUGGGCUCAGAAAUGUUUUGUUGCUUCUGUUUGUUCUCCGUCCCUGGGUCCACGCUCACAGGAUUAAAUUGUUCUUCACAUUAAACUCCACUUAAUAGUUUCCUUGUCUAGCACUCAGGUAGUUUUAAAACGUGGCCAAAAAUUAUUUGACACUACUCCUAGCAAGAGAUGGGGUCUUUGUCCCCUCCCCUUGAAUAUGGGUAGUCUUGUGAUUGUGAAUGUUUCAACCAGGUGAGUGUGGUGGGAAUGACACUGUGUGGCUUAUGAAGCUGGGACAUGAGGGGAAGUGCAGUUUCGAGCUUGUUUCUGGAACCCUCACUCUUGGAGGUCUAAGCCACCAUAUAAAGUCUGACUACCUUGAAGCUGUCUGCUGUGAAUUAGCUCAGGCUCCCUGGAGAGACUGUGCGUAGGCACUGAGCCCAAUAGUGAGUGAAUGAGCCUUCAGAUGAUUCCAGCUCUUUCAGUUUUCUCUCAGCCUUUGAAUCUUCCUGGCUGACACCACAGACAAGGAGAAGCAGGGUGAAGCUGUUUUUACUGUGCAUUUUCUGAAUUUCUGAGGCCAGAAUCUGUGAGCUUAAUAAAAUGGUGGUUGUAAGUGGCACUGCCAGAUUUUGGGGUGAUUUGUUACACAGCAAUUGUAACCAGAACAGGAAAUUUGAAUCCAACUUGAGCCAGACUUCUUACAAAGGACUGAAGUCAGCUAUUUUCUUUCUAUGGCCCAGGAGCUAAAUGCAACUAUUCUCCCAUGCUAACAUCAUGCUCUUCCCAAAUGUUCCAUUAACUCAAGCAGCCUGAAAGAGAAACUCUGCUUCCUAUCACAAAUAUGUCCAAGGAGCCCCUAUACAUAGUUAGAGAUUUCUCUUAAUAAGUCAUAUCCUUCCCUUAGUAAGUCAUAUCCUUCACCUGUGAAACUUCUGGAUCCUGGGAUUAAAUGACUCAAUUUGCUUUGCUUUCCACGUUCUAGAAAUUGUCUCACUUCCUAAAAAGCAUGAAUGAAGUUGUCUUCUGGUCCAAUUUGGAUUUAGCUGAAGAUUCUAACCUGAACGUUUUCUUCAGUCAGGACCUAAGGACACAUUUACCCUGAAUGUCAGAUCCCAGAAGAGAGGACAAAGUAAAGAGUAUGGCUGUGUCGACCAGGCUAGAAUGAAGUGGCAUGAUCUUGGCUCACUGCAACCUCCACCUUCCGGAUUCAAGUGAUUCUCCUGUCUCAGCCUCCCAAGUAGCUGGGAUUACAGGUGCCUGCAAUCACGCCCAGCUAAUUUUUGUAUUUUUAGUAGAGACAGGGUUUUGCCAUGUUGGCCAGGCUGGUCUCGAACUCCUGACCUCAGGUGUCAUUUUAAUUCUAUUCACUUUAUGGAAAAAAAAAGGAUGAAAUUGAGCUCUCUUUGGACCAUACCCAAAAGGUAGAGUCGCCUCCAAUCCAUUUUUUACAUGGCAGUUGGAAAGAUAUUUUUCAACAGCAAAUCUGAUUAUGUUUCCCUUGCAUUUCAAACUCUUCAACAACUUCCAAUUGACAUUCCCAUAAAAGCCAACUCUCUUCCACCAAACGUUCUUCCAACUCCACCCUGCCUCUUUAGUUCCACCUCCUCUCACACACCUUGCUCACUACUGGUGAGCAAUUUGUGUUUGUCUUCAUGCUUUAUGAUUUUCAAAUCCCUAGAAUACUCUCUCCCUAACUCCUCCUUCAUCUAGUGAGUCUUACAAUUUCAGUCUUCAUUUAAACAUUUUCUUAUGAAACCCUUCCCUGACUAUGUUAACCCUCCAUACCAGCCCACAUCCACACACUUUGUACUUCUUCCUUUCAUCACAUUUACAACACUUUCAAUUAUUUUUUCAUCAUCAUUCCCUAUGAUAGAUUGCAGGUUCCCAAAGGACUGGAAAUGCUUCUGUUCCCAACACACUCUAUUCCCAGUACACAUGAUGUACACGGUGCCCAAAGUUCUACAGAUGAAUCAAUACAUUUUUUAUUUAAUAAAGCAUCAAAAUAGUUUCAUAAAAGACAUUUUCAUCCAGUCCCUGAGAGCUGCAUCUAUUGAUUUAAAGCACCUAACUUAGCACAUUUUAUUUCUUCAAACAGAAGCAUGAAUAAAGCAGAGUAGUUUAGUUGGAAUCACAAGUAUGUCCUUAUCAGCAGAUGAAACAAACACAGACUUUCUACAAAGAACCCUUAAAACAUUUUCCUCCAGAUCACCUCAUUCCCACAGGUCAAGUUCAAAUUUUAUUGAGGUGUAAUUAUAUAGAUACAGUAAAAUAAAUAUAUGUUAUGGAAUGUUGACACCAUCAAGCUCACUCUUUAGUGAUUAAGUUCAUUUUGAUGAUACAGUUUUUAAAGAAUAUAUGUUUAAUAUGUUGAUCAUUCAGACUUUAUAUACAAGUUUCAAGAAGCUGAAAUUUGUAUGCCUGCAGAUGAAAAUUUCAGUAAGAAACAAAGCAGUUCUUGUUAGAAAAAGACUCAUAAUUUGGAGCUAGUAUGUAUGUUGGAAUGUGAAGUUAUGUGAUAGGGCCACAAGCCAAAUAUAAAGUCUUUAUAGGAAGUCUCUGUGCCUCAGAUCUUCUGUCUCUCCUGGCAUAGACAGAAAACUAUUCCUCCUUUGACUCCAACUCUUCAGUGAAAUGGGGAAUUAUUGUCUGCAGUAUGUAGAAUAGAGGGAAUUGACUAAGGAACUCACCUAAGAUGAAUAUAACAUAAAGUAAGACACUAAAAUUAUGGCAGCUAAAUGAAUCUCUACAUUCUGAGUAGUAAGACCCACAUGAUUAUUUUAGCUCACCCUAUUCAAGAACUAGAAUAUAACAGCCAAACUUAAAGGCUAUACCUCCCCUACAUUCAGGAGAUCGAAGUUUUCUUCUAUAGAGAAGUUGCAUCAAGGCCGGGCGCAGUGGCUUAUGCCUGUAAUCCCAGCACUUUGGGAGGCCAAGGUGGGCAGAUCACCUGAGGUCAGGAGUUCAAGACCAGCCUGGCCAACAUGGUGUAACCCCCUUCUACUAAAAAUACAAAAAAUAGCUGGGUGAGGUGGUGCAUGCUUGUAGUCCCAGCUACUAAGGAGGCUGAGACAGGAGGAUUGCUUGAACCCAGGAAGCAGAGGAUGCAGUGAGCUGAGAUCACGCCACUGCACUCCAGCCUGAGUGACAGAGAGAGAGACUCUGACUCAAAAAAAAAAAAAAAAAAAAGG